RNAcentral lists this ribosomal RNA (492 nucleotides) under uncultured bacterium. Its description in RNAcentral is "partial 16S ribosomal RNA". It matches the Rfam family "Bacterial small subunit ribosomal RNA", at positions 29 to 523 of the family's 1533-position model. The record is from RNAcentral.
AUUGAACGCUGGCGGCAUGCUUUACACAUGCAAGUCGAACGGUAACAGGUUAAGCUGACGAGUGGCGAACGGGUGAGUAAUGCAUCGGAACGUGCCCAGUCGUGGGGAUAACGCAGCGAAAGCUGCGCUAAUACCGCAUACGAUCUGAGGAUGAAAGCGGGGGACCGUAAGGCCUCGCGCGAUCGGAGCGGCCGAUGUCAGAUUAGGUAGUUGGUGGGGUAAAGGCUCACCAAGCCGACGAUCUGUAGCUGGUCUGAGAGGACGACCAGCCACACUGGGACUGAGACACGGCCCAGACUCCUACGGGAGGCAGCAGUGGGGAAUUUUGGACAAUGGGCGCAAGCCUGAUCCAGCAAUGCCGCGUGCAGGAAGAAGGCCUUCGGGUUGUAAACUGCUUUUGUACGGAGCGAAAAGGCUCUCUCUAAUACAGGGGGCUCAUGACGGUACCGUAAGAAUAAGCACCGGCUAACUACGUGCCAGCAGCCGCCGCGG